Molecule: non-coding RNA, 513 nt
Organism: Clarias gariepinus (North African catfish)
Lineage: Eukaryota; Metazoa; Chordata; Actinopteri; Siluriformes; Clariidae
Source: the annotation of a RefSeq genome assembly
AUGAUCACACUCUUUGUGGCUCUUUACUCUCUGCUUUGUCUCUGCACAACUGGAAACACUUCUGACAUCAAGGAGCCUCACGUAAAAACAGUCAAGCUGGGAGAAAAUGUAACAAUGGAGUGUAACGUUAGUGGGAAUAAAGAUAAUGUAUUUUGGUACAGACAGAGAUUCGGAGAAAUGCCUCAGUUUUUAGCAAAACCAUACAAGAACGCUAAGGGCUACACAUUUGCAGAGGAAUUUAAUGAUAGACGCUUCAGUGUUACUGUAAAUGGCAGUAAAUUUGAUCUCAACAUUAAUGGAACAAAUAAAAGUGACAGAGGAGACUAUCUCUGUGUAAAUCUUGACGGAACUACACCAAAGUUCACAUCUGGAACACGUCUGCAGUUUGAAGGUGAAGAGAUGAAACCCUGUCCUACACCUGGAACACUUAACAAGAACACACACUCUGUUACACACCAGGGUUCAAACAGCAGAGAUGGAGAAGGAGCUCAGUAUUGUAGGCUGUUGCACUGA